RNAcentral lists this long non-coding RNA (918 nucleotides) under Mytilus galloprovincialis (Mediterranean mussel). The record is from RNAcentral. Lineage: Eukaryota; Metazoa; Mollusca; Bivalvia; Mytilida; Mytilidae.
UGUUUUUUAUUAUUAGGUCUUUCCACUUUUCUGUGGAAAGCCUAUUGUAUUUGUUCUGAUUAUUAUUAUUAUUAUUUUUUUUUUUUUUUUUCCGCCAAAUUUUGUUCUUGCGAUAAAUGUUUGUUUCGCAAUAUGUCGCUUAGAUUUUUUUCAUAUUGUAUCGUAUAGUUUAUGCGCUUUUAAAUUUCACCCUGCUAAGCCGAACCAUUUUCUUUGUAAGAGUUAUCUCCCUAUUCACUGUUUGUCAUGUGUGUGCAUCUCCUUCGUAACAAAAUAAGAAAGCGACAAAAUUCUUUUUACAAAUUGUUCGUUACAUCCUCAGGAAUUUUUGGCUAAUUUGGAUCGAAGCGAUUCGAUGAAAUUUUAUAGGAGUUAUGUACCUUUACGGAAUAAAUUUGUCGGUAUGUUUUUUUUUUAACUCAUAAACCGUUAACCGUAUAACCCUGGAAUGUUUUUAUUUGAGUCCCCUGGGUCCUAACUUAGAAAAUUAGGUCAAGGUCAAAGGUCAAGGUCAUAUUUUAGAUUUUCAUAUGUCUUUGAUUUCCCUAUAAUUCUUGAAUGGUUAUAGAUACAGAAAAUUUAAGCAGUGAAAAAUGUUCAGUACUUCAAGGGGCAACUUUGUUACAUUAUGACUGUAUUGGUUUUACCAUUAUGUAAGGGACAUAACCCCCAUUGAUGGUUUAUAAAAAGCCAUUAUUAGGCAAAACUCUUAAACAAAAGGUCCUUGACCCAUAGGGUCUUUUGCAAUGACAUUGUGAAGCAAUGACCUUGACAAAGGUCACAAGGUCAAAGGUCAAGGUCAUGUACAUAUGUGAUUUGGGGCACGACUUGAAGAAUUUUAUGUGUGUUUGCCAACCAACCAACCAACCAACCAAUCAUGAUCAAUCAAUAAUGAUCAAUCAACAAAUCAUGAUCAUG